RNAcentral lists this ribosomal RNA (264 nucleotides) under uncultured bacterium. Its description in RNAcentral is "partial 16S ribosomal RNA". It matches the Rfam family "Bacterial small subunit ribosomal RNA", at positions 90 to 354 of the family's 1533-position model. The record is from RNAcentral.
UUCGAGUGGCGGACGGGUGAGUAACGCGUGGGUAACCUGCCGUAUACAGGGGGAUAACACUUAGAAAUAGGUGCUAAUACCGCAUAAGCGCACGGUUCCGCAUGGGACAGUGUGAAAAACCGAGGUGGUAUACGAUGGACCCGCGUCUGAUUAGCCAGUUGGCAGGGUAACGGCCUACCAAAGCGACGAUCAGUAGCCGGCCUGAGAGGGCGGACGGCCACAUUGGGACUGAGACACGGCCCAAACUCCUACGGGAGGCAGCAG